GAUGAACGCUGGCGGCGUGCCUAAUACAUGCAAGUCGAGCGAACAGACGAGGAGCUUGCUCCUCUGACGUUAGCGGCGGACGGGUGAGUAACACGUGGAUAACCUACCUAUAAUACUGGGAUAACUUCGGGAAACCGGAGCUAAUACCGGAUAAUAUAUUGAACCGCAUGGUUCAAUAGUGAAAGACGGUGUUGCUGUCACUUAUAGAUGGAUCCGCGCCGCAUUAGCUAGUUGGUAAGGUAACGGCUUACCAAGGCGACGAUGCGUAGCCGAACUGAGAGGGUGAUCGGCCACACUGGAACUGAGACACGGUCCAGACUCCUACGGGAGGCAGCAGUAGGGAAUCAUCCGCAAUGGGCGAAAGCCUGACGGAGCAACGCCGCGUGAGUGAUGAAGGUCUUCGGAUCGUAAAACUCUGUUAUUAGGGAAGAACAAAUGUGUAAGUAACUAUGCACGUAUUGACGGUACCUAAUAAGAAAGCCACGGCUAACUACGUG
This 497-nucleotide ribosomal RNA is filed under the name uncultured bacterium. RNAcentral's name for it is "partial 16S ribosomal RNA". It matches the Rfam family "Bacterial small subunit ribosomal RNA", at positions 28 to 507 of the family's 1533-position model. The record is from RNAcentral.